GCGUUGGUGGUAUAGUGGUCAACAUAAUUCCAAGCAAUUGACCCGGGAUCGAUUCCCGGCUAACGCA
This 67-nucleotide transfer RNA is filed under the name Strongylocentrotus purpuratus (purple sea urchin). It matches the Rfam family "tRNA". From Rfam's summary of the family: Transfer RNA (tRNA) molecules are approximately 80 nucleotides in length. Their secondary structure includes four short double-helical elements and three loops (D, anti-codon, and T loops). The record is from Rfam by way of RNAcentral. Lineage: Eukaryota; Metazoa; Echinodermata; Echinoidea; Camarodonta; Strongylocentrotidae.